GGGCGGGCCGAGGCUGCUGACUCUGGAGGGCGGGCGCCGCUCCAGCCCAGGAGGGGCCCAGAGGCCGCCCGCCCCACCCCGGGCUGCACGCAAGGCCAACUUGACCGGGGUUCCCCAAAAAUCAUCCAGAACGUGGAAAUCGGCAAAGGGAGAGUGCCAUGUCCUAUAAUGUUUUGUGGCAGUAUUUGAUAACCGGCCUGGCCAAGGAUGACCUCAGUAUCUGGAGCAGGGUUUCUCGACCGAGCCCUGUUCGUAUUUCGGGAUAAUUCUUUGUUGGCGGGAGGGGGGCUGCCCUGUGCCCUGCAGGAUGUUUAGCAGCAUCCCUGGACCCAACCCACUAGAUGCCCAUUUCCAGAUGUUGCCAAGUGUCCCUCCCACCCCGGGAUCCACGGACUCAGAGGAUGUGCCUUUGUCUAACUCUGGCUGUUCUGUCGAGAGGCAACGAUUUCUGCCAGACAGAGAAGAUGAGCCCGGCAGCCACGGUUUUGCUGCCUGGAGGACGUCCGCCAGCCUGGCAUCUGACCCGCGCCCUGGUCCCUGUGGCUUCCCCCCAUAGUCCAUACCCUGCUCCUCUAACGGCUCUGAACCAGCUUUACCCUCCUUCUUAUUCUCGUACGAGUUGAAUUAAUCUUUGACAGUGCUCCUUCUAUACAUGAGUCGUGUUGUCACUUCUUGAAAACCGUACUUUGACCCAGAAUUGCUCUGAGGAUGAAGGGAGAUAAUGUAGCCAAGCCAUCAAUUUCUAGCUUGUGCCCGAUAAUUCGCAACUCUGAUCAUUGAUGUUGCUUUUCCACGGGGGUCCGCUCAGGCUGGCCAAGGGGAUGGUCUCCCGUAAUUUAAUCACGGGGUGCCCCUGGGAGCGGGGUUCCUGCAGACCGCAGGGAGCACGUGGGACUUCAAGGGGCAGAGCUGGCUUUGGGGGGUCUCGGUCUGGGCUGGGAACAGGGGCUCUGGGUUCUGGUCUUGGCUUCCAGCUGCCCUUGGACAUCUCGCUGCCCUCUUGGUGGUCCGGGUGGUGGCUUGGUGUCUAUUCCAUCCUCCUGCUUCUUUGACAAACAGUGCCCCUUUGUGACCUGCGUCCCCCAGCCUCCCUCUGCUGGGAGAAUUCUGGGGUGGGCUGGGUUGGGCACAGGCCCUCCACGUCUAUGGCAGGCUGCUCUCUUGGGUGAGGGAGCCCAGCCAAGGGGCCGGGGCUGGAUGCCCUGAGUGUUUCUUCUGGCCUGGGCAGGCAGCACCUCACAGUCAGGAGAAAGCAGGAUGGCAGGGAGGGACUGGGGACGUGCUCUCCUGGGCUCCCUGCCUCCCUCCCAUACCGCUCCGGUGCCCCCUGACCACCCCACCCCAGCCAGGCUGCCAUCACCCAACAUGAGGAAAGUGCUGUCACCAAACAUUCAGACUAGCAAAUCCACCUGCCCAGUGGACACGGGCACCUGGAUCUCGACAUGCCUGAAGUCCCUCCUCCACUCAGCCUGCUCCUCCCCCAGUGCUGCCCGUCUUGGUCCCCAUCUUACCAGGCCGAGGUUCAGAGUGUUGUUGUCAUCCUCCGGCAUGGGCAAGUACACGGCCAAGGCCACGCAGUUGGCAAAGAUGAGCUAAUGCAGACGGAGAGGGAGUCCAAGCCGCUGGCCCCAGCCUGGUGCCAUUGAGCUGAAAGCCCAGGGCCGCACCAGGGAGCCCUCCUGGCCAGCUUCUUCAGCCUCUUUCUCCUCCAUCUCCAUCCCCAGUUGGGAUUUGCCCCGGGGGGACGAGGGGAAGCCUUCCCCGGCUCACGAUGGGGAAUUUUCUUGCAAAGACCCCUCCUUUUUUCUCCCCCACCCCAUAUUAAAAUGACUCUCCUGCUUCAAAACCCGAGAGGCGCCCACCAUAAUGUGGAUUUGGACAUGGCUGGGAACAGCCCCGUGAAACAGCCUGGCCUCUUCCAUAGAUGGUCAGCAGGCACCUGGGGCUGUCACCAGGACUUGGGUCACACGCUUAGGCUCCAGAAGCCCCACGGGUCCCCUUCCAUGGAGGGCUUCCUCCCCAGA
Molecule: non-coding RNA, 2024 nt
Organism: Equus caballus (horse)
Lineage: Eukaryota; Metazoa; Chordata; Mammalia; Perissodactyla; Equidae
Source: RefSeq, a predicted model, not a curated record